GAUGAACGCUGGCGGCGUGCCUAACACAUGCAAAUCGAACGGAGUCGUUUUGGAAAUCUCUUCGGAGAUGGAAUUCUCGACUUAGUGGCGGACGGGUGAGUAACGCGUGAGCAAUCUGCCUUUAAGAGGGGGAUAACAGUCGGAAACGGCUGCUAAUACCGCAUAAAGCAUUAAAUUCGCAUGUUUUUGAUGCCAAAGGAGCAAUCCGCUUUUAGAUGAGCUCGCGUCUGAUUAGCUAGUUGGCGGGGUAACGGCCCACCAAGGCGACGAUCAGUAGCCGGACUGAGAGGUUGAACGGCCACAUUGGGACUGAGACACGGCCCAGACUCCUACGGGAGGCAGCAGUGGGGAAUAUUGCGCAAUGGGGGAAACCCUGACGCAGCAACGCCGCGUGAUUGAAGAAGGCCUUCGGGUUGUAAAGAUCUUUAAUCAGGGACGAAACAAAUGACGGUACCUGAAGAAUAAGCUCCGGCUAACUACGUG
Molecule: ribosomal RNA, 483 nt
Filed under: uncultured bacterium
Lineage: Bacteria
Description: partial 16S ribosomal RNA
Rfam family: Bacterial small subunit ribosomal RNA
Source: RNAcentral